GUGAGGAAUUUUGCGCAAUGGGGGAAACCCUGACGCAGCAACGCCGCGUGAGUGAUGAAGGCUUUCGGGUCGUAAAGCUCUGUCAAGUGAGAAGAAACUGUUUGAUGCCAAUACCAUCAAGCACUGACGGUACCACUGAAGGAAGCACCGGCUAACUCCGUGCCAGCAGCCGCGGUAAUACGGAGGGUGCAAGCGUUAUUCGGAAUUAUUGGGCGUAAAGGGCGCGCAGGCGGCCUGCUAAGUCAAAUGUGAAAGCCCGAGGCUUAACCUCGGAAGGGCAUAUGAUACUGGCAGGCUUGAGUAUGGGAGAGGGAAGUGGAAUUCCUGGUGUAGCGGUGAAAUGCGUAGAUAUCAGGAGGAACACCGGUGGCGAAGGCGACUUCCUGGACCAAUACUGACGCUGAGGCGCGAAGGCGUGGGGAGCA
Molecule: ribosomal RNA, 425 nt
Filed under: uncultured bacterium
Lineage: Bacteria
Description: bacterial SSU rRNA
Rfam family: Bacterial small subunit ribosomal RNA
Source: RNAcentral